This is a long non-coding RNA of Megalobrama amblycephala (Wuchang bream), 2540 nucleotides long. RefSeq lists it as uncharacterized. Lineage: Eukaryota; Metazoa; Chordata; Actinopteri; Cypriniformes; Xenocyprididae. The record is from RefSeq and is a predicted model, not a curated record. The transcript is spliced from 4 exons.
UUUCGCCCUCUACCGGCACCAAACCGCGAUGCAGAUAAGCAGAAAAACACAAUACACUGGCCCUAAACGAACCUACAUUUUAAUACGACGCUUAAAUGUAUGUCAUUGCAUUAGAUAACCAAAAAUCAAACUAGAUGGCAGAUGAUACUCCGCUUUUGCCGCAAUUAUAGAGAGCAUUCUGACGUUGUGGCAAACUUUGCUGCCCCUAACAAAGACCAGAAUGCGUUUUCGCUGAAACCUCGAAGAUCUCAAGUUCAAGUAAGUUGCUGUUCAUCCAGCAUCCAUGCUAAAGAGACCACCAAGGAUCCAUCUAACCCAGCACAUAACUGCUGAGAUCACUAAUGGGCUCUGAGCUCUAGUUUCUUUCGAACAGCUGUCAGACAGCUCAGUAAACAUUCCUAGAGUAACCAUAUCACUCCUCAGGGUCACUUUAUGGCCCCCGGAUUGCUCCUUAUUUGUCUGUUGUAUCUCAGUUUGGCUGCUGUAUUUUAUUGCAGAUUAUAUUGUUUAUGUGUACACCAUGUUAGUUCUACCAAAAUAUAUCAAAUAGUUCUAUUGUGUUUACAUGGAAGCUCAUUUCUGCCACACAAGAAAAAAGUAAUGCUUUGGUAAAAAUGAAAAAAAAAAUUGAAAUAAAAAGUCAUGACAUGAAAAGCUGAUUUCUUUGUCAUAAUUGACUUUUUAUGUAUUAAUUAUGACUUUGUCUCAUAAUUUUGAUGGUCAAUUUCGACAUUAUCUCAUAAUUACAACUUAGUUGGUCAUAAAUUUGAAUUUUCAUCUCAUAAAUAUGACUUAGUUUUGACUUUUUUUGACUUCCUGACUGUAAUAUUUUCAUCUUUUUAUCUCACAAUUAUGACAGUAUCUCAUAAUUUUUACUUUUUAUAUCAUAAUUAUGAAUUUACCAAAGCAUUAUUUGUUUAUUUAUGUUGCAGACAUUGGCUUCCAUAGUUUUAUUCUGUUCUGUUUUGUUCUUAAAAACAAAAAUUAAAUAUAUAGUAAGUAAAAUUAAGUUAAAUUGUAUAAUAAAUAUUUUGCUUUUAAGAAAUUAGGACAAAAAGUAUUUGGACAUUUCCUGGUUAUCAAACAUUAGUGGAUCCUGUCCAUAGUUAAUGUGACCUGAGUGAAAUUGGCUUUAUAAAAAUCACUAUAAGACCUUAAGUUGGUUAAAAGUACAUGCAAAAGUGAAGUUAGUUCUGAGAAUAAUUUUAUUUCUAAUCCAAUGAAACACCAGCUCGCAUCAUCACUGACUGCGUCUCGACUGCCAGAAACUUAUGGUUGCCUUGAGGUGGGGGAUUUUCUUUCACUUUUACUGCGCUUUGUGAAGACGGGUGGCGGGCUGAUUCAUUAAGAGAAAGUCUUGACCACAAGAUGUACAGCAGCACAAAUACUGAUAUGAAACGGCACCGCAAUACAUGCCUGGAGCUCAAUGUCAUAAACUCAGAAAUGUGAGAAAACUGAAUGAUAUGAAGAAGUAGGAGUUUUCAAAUAAAUCUUGCUAUGCUUUUGGCUCAUUUGCGCUUUAUAAAAAGUGGAAAAUACGUUUUCUGACAAGACAAAUUGAUCCGUAAUGUCUGCUUUUCACAGGAGUAAUUCCAUGUCAACUCAACCAGAGGACAGCGAUGACACCGUUGAUCUCUGUGAGGAAACGCUGCAGAUCUCCAUGUUAGUGAAGGAGCUCCCGGCCUCACUGCUGCAUUCUGGGUAUGAAGAACUAGAGGAUAUGAUGUUCUUCAGCCUGUGGAGAGCAAUGAUCAACAGGGCAACCUGCAUAUCAGUGGGCUCAUAAGCUGGUGCAGCUUGUUGUUAGGCCACCGCCGGUCCAUUAGGACUUUGGGGUGGUCACACCGGCUCAGUGGUGCACACAGAAGAGAGUCUGGCGCAGGCUGGCAUAUGGAGGGAGCUUUGGAUGCAAGCAGUGGGGCAAAGCUAUGCAUGUCAAUAGGACAGAGGCGUCAUGCCUCCUGGGAAGGUCUUAUCUCUUCUGCUCUGUGCACUAAAGACACGGAACACAGAUUAUGGAUCGGCGCAAAGCAAAGCAUGACUGUCUGGCGCAGCUCGCUUUUGCUAUUGUUUUGUGAAGCAUGAAUGGGAAUUCUGUUUCGGUAGUAACGAAUGCUUGUGUUCUUAAUACUCAAUCAUCAUCACUGAUUCAUCUUGAACCAGUAAAAAACUCUCUGUUCCUCUUAAAGGGAAAGUUCACCCAAAAAAAUAAAAAUUCUGUCAUCAUUUACUCACCCUCAUGUUAUUUCAAACCUGUCUUUCAACUCUUUUUGUCAUCACUGAAAACAUAGUUAUGUAUGUUAUAUUACAUAGUUAUGUAUGUUAUAUUGCAUUUCUGUCAAUGUUCAUUGUUCAUUUCAAGUUUUUUUCUCAUCCAAUCAUUUUUGUCCAUGCAAAGAAGGUCAGUGAAGUUGAAUCCAUUGAUCCUCACUGAAUUUCACAGUGUAAUGUAAAAAAAAACAAAGAAAUUUAUUUUUAAAAAAAUGGCUGUAUGAGUUCAGUACAUGACAUACAGUGAGUCUCAAAUUCUUCCUUCUUAU